UGCCGAUGAAGCAAAAUUCGCAUGAACCAACGCUACAAUGGUGGAAAUCAAUCUCUGAUAUAUUUGCACGUCAGUCUGAGGCACU
Molecule: small nucleolar RNA, 85 nt
Filed under: Hyaloperonospora arabidopsidis Emoy2
Lineage: Eukaryota; Oomycota; Peronosporomycetes; Peronosporales; Peronosporaceae
Description: Hyaloperonospora arabidopsidis small nucleolar RNA snoR72Y
Source: RNAcentral